Molecule: ribosomal RNA, 114 nt
Filed under: Zingiber officinale
Lineage: Eukaryota; Viridiplantae; Streptophyta; Magnoliopsida; Zingiberales; Zingiberaceae
Source: RNAcentral
GCGAUCAUACCAGCACAAAUUCAUCGGAUCCCACCAGAACUCCGAAGUUAAGCGUGCUUGGGCGAGAGUAGUACUAGGAUGGGUGACCCCCUGGGAAGUCCUCGUGUUGCACCU